CCAGAGUGUGGUGCGCUGAGCUCCCGUUAGGCUCCGCGGGGCCUCGCUCGACGCGGCGGCAGAGGGGACACGUGGGAGGCACAGCGUGUGUCGCCGCGGAUCCCCACGAGCGUGGGGGGCUGUGGGCCUGCCCCUGCCCCGCGUGGGGCGCCGGCCUCCGCCCAGUCUGCCCUCUGGGAGCUUCUCUGUUGGCCGAGAGGGCCGAGAGCCGGCGUCGUCGGACCGUCAGGGGCGGAAUAAAAUUGGAGAGCCAGACAGAGCUGACAGAAAAUGCUCCAUCCCUGAAGGAAAAUCAAGACACUGAAAGUGAGUGGAAUCACCUGAAAUUUACCUCAUGUCAAUCACUUGACUGACGACAACGCUGGGUUUGGAGUCUUUUUCUUCAUCCAUGUUGUACAGGAAGAGCUUGAAGUCACAGACGACAGCCAGGGCUCUCUGCCAUCCCUUCCUCGCCCCUGCCUUCUUUGGGAUCUUUAGUUUGGAUUUAAAAACAUCAACAAAUAAAAACGGUAUGAGCUAAAUCAUCACAUGCUAUCCAAUUAUUGUACAUACAAUUAAAAU
Long non-coding RNA from Mustela erminea (ermine), 561 nucleotides. RefSeq lists it as uncharacterized. Lineage: Eukaryota; Metazoa; Chordata; Mammalia; Carnivora; Mustelidae. The transcript has 3 exons. The record is from RefSeq and is a predicted model, not a curated record.